UCAUCAUCAAGUUCAGACUUUGCAACUCCCUAACUAGCACACUUACAGAGGAGCCUCCAAAGAGCAACACUAUUGGAAAUCCAGCAUCUAGUGGAGUAUCAACUGCUGCAUAUAAAGCAAAAAGCCAUGCACAAUCAUUUUUUGACAGCGUGCUCAUGGUUUCUAUUGGAAAUCCAAUACCGAAUAGAAUUAGGAAUUGAAGUUAUAAAGCAGCAAUGGACAUCCG
Molecule: unclassified non-coding RNA, 226 nt
Filed under: Hevea brasiliensis (rubber tree)
Lineage: Eukaryota; Viridiplantae; Streptophyta; Magnoliopsida; Malpighiales; Euphorbiaceae
Source: RNAcentral